GACGAACGCUGGCGGCGUGCCUAAUACAUGCAAGUAGAACGCUGAAGAGAGGAGCUUGCUCUUCUUGGAUGAGUUGCGAACGGGUGAGUAACGCGUAGGUAACCUGCCUUGUAGCGGGGGAUAACUAUUGGAAACGAUAGCUAAUACCGCAUAACAAUGGAUGACCCAUGUCAUUUAUUUGAAAGGGGCAAAUGCUCCACUACAAGAUGGACCUGCGUUGUAUUAGCUAGUAGGUGAGGUAACGGCUCACCUAGGCGACGAUACAUAGCCGACCUGGGAGGGUGAUCGGCCACACUGGGACUGAGACACGGCCCAGACUCCUACGGGAGGCAGCAGUAGGGAAUCUUCGGCAAUGGGGGCAACCCUGACCGAGCAACGCCGCGUGAGUGAAGAAGGUUUUCGGAUCGUAAAGCUCUGUUGUAAGUCAAGAACGAGUGUGAGAGUGGAAAGUUCACACUGUGACGGUAGCUUACCAGAAAGGGACGGCUAACUACGUG
RNAcentral lists this ribosomal RNA (497 nucleotides) under uncultured bacterium. Its description in RNAcentral is "partial 16S ribosomal RNA". It matches the Rfam family "Bacterial small subunit ribosomal RNA", at positions 28 to 507 of the family's 1533-position model. The record is from RNAcentral.